This 777-nucleotide ribosomal RNA is filed under the name uncultured bacterium. RNAcentral describes it as "bacterial SSU rRNA". It matches the Rfam family "Bacterial small subunit ribosomal RNA", at positions 8 to 796 of the family's 1533-position model. The record is from RNAcentral.
AGAGUUUGAUCCUGGCUCAGGACGAACGCUGGCGGGUGCUAAUACAUGCAAGUCGAACGGGGUCCAACCAGUGGCAACACUGGGGACGACCCAGUGGCGAACGGGUGAGUAACACGUGAGGAACCUGCCCCGAAGACCGGGAUAACCCUUCGAAAGGAGGGCUAAUACCGGAUGUCCCCACCAGAUCGCAUGUUCUGGUGAGGAAAUGGAUUCCGCUUCGGGAGGGCCUCGCGGCCUAUCAGCUUGUUGGUGGGGUAACGGCCCACCAAGGCAUCGACGGGUAGCUGGUCUGAGAGGACGAUCAGCCACACUGGGACUGAGACACGGCCCAGACUCCUACGGGAGGCAGCAGUAGGGAAUCUUGCGCAAUGGGCGAAAGCCUGACGCAGCAACGCCGCGUGGGGGAUGAAGGCUUUCGGGUUGUAAACCCCUUUCAGUAGGGACGAAUCAAGACGGUACCUACAGAAGAAGCCCCGGCCAACUACGUGCCAGCAGCCGCGGUAACACGUAGGGGGCAAGCGUUGUCCGGAUUUAUUGGGCGUAAAGAGCUCGUAGGUGGUUCGGUAAGUUGGGUGUGAAAACUCCAGGCUCAACCUGGAGACGCCACCCGAUACUGCUGUGACUCGAGUCCGGUAGGGGAGCGUGGAAUUCCUGGUGUAGCGGUGAAAUGCGCAGAUAUCAGGAGGAACACCAGCGGCGAANNGGCGCUCUGGGCCGGAACUGACGCUGAGGANNGAAAGCGUGGGUAGCGAACAGGAUUAGAUACCCUAGUAGUCC